UAGAAUGACAUCGAUCAUCACUCAAUGAUAUAGCUGUGCAUUAACUUCAUUGGCAGUUUGCCCCUCCCUUCUAGGCAUUUAGGGCCUAUACUUUUGUGUCUUGCCCUUCUCUGAUGGUUCUUAUACUUCAUUACUUUCGUGGAGUGCUUCUCAAACAAAUAGUAUGACUUUGCCGAAGCUUUGCAAUUCGUAUUUGUUUGGGUGAAGUUUUCUUUCAGGGAAUAACUCCAACCGAAGGUGCUCUUUGGUUUUGGCCUUGACCGAGGGAAUAUGCAAGUGAGAGCAUAAAGUAUACAAGGAAAAAAUGCUGUAGAGUACCAGUUUCUUCGCUUGUGGUUCAAUCACAAGAGCUUGUUGAUCCACAGUAUCAGAUAUCAAAUCCUGCAGUGGUAUGGUCUUGACCUUUUCCUUUCUCCUUUGUGAUCGGAUUGUUCAUAUUGGAAGUCUAAGGUCAUCUUGCCUUCCUUUUGGCUUCCAUGCUGUGCGUUUCUAGCUUCUAGUUCAGACAUCCGAUAAGCCUAUUGGGCCAAUAAUAAAGCAAGUACAUACGUAUUCACAUCUUGAGAAGCUAAACUUCAAGAUCGUUUUGACGAACAAAGGGAUCAAUCAAUCAAUCAAUCAUGUCUAGCGGGGAAUGUCGGAGGAGCUCUAGGAUGUUUGAACUGGAAGCUAGAAAAGCACAGCAUUGAAGCCAAAAGGAAGGCAAGAUGACCUUAGAAUUCCAAGAUGAAGAAUCCGAUCACAAAGGAGGUAGGAAAAAGGUCAAGACCAAACCAUUGCAAGAUCUGAUAUAAGAUCCUGAGGAACGACAAGCUUAUGUGGUUGAACCACAAGCGAAGAAACUGGUACCCUACGGCAAUAUUUUUUAGUAUACUUUAUGCUCUCACUCUUAUACUUAGUGUAAUUUCCAUUCCUAUACUUUUGUGUCUUGCCCUUCUCUGUCGGUUAUUAUACUUCAUUACUUUCCUGGAGUGCUUCUCAAACAAAAAGUACGACUUUGCCGAAGCUCUGCGAUUUGUAUUUGUCUGAGUGAAGUUUUCUUUUCUAUUAGAGUUAGCUAUUUCUUG
Molecule: long non-coding RNA, 1067 nt
Organism: Rhodamnia argentea
Lineage: Eukaryota; Viridiplantae; Streptophyta; Magnoliopsida; Myrtales; Myrtaceae
Exons: 2
Source: RefSeq, a predicted model, not a curated record